This 26-nucleotide non-coding RNA is filed under the name Mus musculus (house mouse). Lineage: Eukaryota; Metazoa; Chordata; Mammalia; Rodentia; Muridae. The record is from RNAcentral.
UAUCCGGAGCUUUUGCAUACCCUAGG